RNAcentral lists this long non-coding RNA (512 nucleotides) under Marmota monax (woodchuck). The record is from RNAcentral. Lineage: Eukaryota; Metazoa; Chordata; Mammalia; Rodentia; Sciuridae.
UACAGGACUCACAGUUCUCUGAAAAGGAUGAACCGUCUUACCAAACCAUUAAAAGCCAUACAGUCUCAAAGAAAAUUGACAGGAGAACACAAGAGUCUCCAGCAGAGGCAAGUGAAGAUCCUGUAAUUAGCCUAUGUAGACCCCCUCUAAGAAACCCCAGAUCUGAUUCAGCUUACAAAACCAACAGAAAUACUAAAAUGAGUGAAUUAUAAAUGGCCAGUUUCCUGCAGAAGGUCAGUUCUCCAAAGAAGGAGAAACCAAAGAUGAUGAUCAAGAUAGCUGUUACAGUGAUGUCACUACCAUUAAGGUCAGAUCCAGGGAUUCUUUUGAAUCUGGAGAUUAUCUGGUCAACAUUCAGAAUCACUUUGGAGAUUAUCACAAAGUCAAAACUUCACAGUUUAUGAAAAACAAUUUUCAGUUCUGAGCUCAGGAUAUAUAAAAAAAAAUCCUCAGGAAUGUAUUGAAUAAAAUGUAAGAAUGAGGACUAGGAUGCAAAAUGACAGUGUUCAGAA